CUGUGCUUUUUCUCCCGGCUGUCGGGGGGCCGGGACUUUCGGGGGGCGCGUGGGAGUAGGGCGGGGCCGGCGCGCGGACUGGAAAAGCGGAAGCGGGGACCGUGCGCCACCGGAAGCGGGUGUGUGGGAGGAGCCGGAGUCGUCACCGCGAACGUAUUUGCCCCGCCCUUGCCUUCACCGCUCUCAGGGUUUAAAAGGCUCCAAUUUGCCCUGAGAGCACAGCCUCUGAAAUCAAACCACUUAGACAAAAUCCUAGCUCAACCACUUAAGAUCUGAAUGCUCUCCAGCAAAUUACUUCACUUCUCUGUAAUAAUAAUGUUUACCCUGGAGGAUGAUUGUGAAGAAUAAAUGAGUUAACAUUUGCAAAGGGCUUAAAACAGAAUACUUCAUGUGCAGUUUCUGUCCUCAGUGCAUCAUAUCAGAGAACACAUCAUGUCAAUUUGGUGACGUUAACUUUGAUCAUUUGGUUCAAGUGGUAUCCACUAGACCUCUCCAUUUAUAAAGGUCCAUCUGCGCUUCACCCGCUCUGUGCCCAGGAGGCAGAACUAGACGGACUUCACCUACUGGUUGCGGUCCUCUGGCUUCCAG
Molecule: long non-coding RNA, 588 nt
Organism: Hipposideros armiger (great roundleaf bat)
Lineage: Eukaryota; Metazoa; Chordata; Mammalia; Chiroptera; Hipposideridae
Exons: 4
Source: RefSeq, a predicted model, not a curated record